UAAUGAGAUCAUCUGCACACUCCACAGAGCUCCAGAGUUACUGUUCAUAGCAAAAGUGUAAUGCUGCCCUGUGUGCCCACAGAUGACUAUCGGAGCAGGCUGUCAUCCAAACAAGGUGAAGGUCUCUGACCCUGGAGUGGCAAAGACGGGCCUCCAAGCCUUCCAGCCAACAUACUUCACUGAAGGUGGGCUCGGCUGCAGAUAUUCCACUGGACAUAGGAGAGCGUGACCUCAGCCAGCUGACAGCCUCUCUUACAACACCCUCAGGCCCAGAGGAGCCCUGCCUGCUGAAGAUGCUGCGUAACGCUCACAUCGGAAUCUCCUUUGCUCCCAAGGAGAUUGGUGAGCACCUUGUUAACAUCAAGAAGAACGGCCGUCAUGUUCCCAGCAGCCCAAUUGCUGUUAUGAUCAAGCAGUCAGGGAUUGGUGAUGUGAGCCGUGUGCGUGUGAGCGGACCGUGGCUGACCGAGGACAGGACUUUUCAGCCUUGAGAGUUCAUCAUUGAUGCAGGGACCAGCACCUGCAGACAACAAACAACACUAUCAUCCCAACACAGUCAGAACUCAUUU
Oreochromis niloticus (Nile tilapia) is the source of this 569-nucleotide long non-coding RNA. RefSeq lists it as uncharacterized. The record is from RefSeq and is a predicted model, not a curated record. Lineage: Eukaryota; Metazoa; Chordata; Actinopteri; Cichliformes; Cichlidae. The transcript is spliced from 3 exons.